UAUUACUUCGUACUCCUCGCAGCGAAUGUAGCUCUAGUCUACUUGUUCGGACCGCCGACGAGGAAUACAUUCGUACUAUCAGAGCGAAGACGACACCCACAUUCCAGCAUCUUUCCCGCGAUGUUUGGAAUAGUACAAAUUUUUCUACUCAAUCCACAACAAAACAAAAACAGAAUGCAUCACAUUUCUACGAUAGCUUCGGAUCAUCAUCAUGUGGCAACCGUACUGGAUUAAGGAAACACCGCGUUUUUCGGAACGAUUCAGUACGUACGGCAAGAAGCGAUCGCACUCUUGAUGAUCCAUCAAACCGUAUUUUGAAACAUCGGGCAUUGAGAAAUUCUUGUGAGCGCCAUUUUUUAAAACAACGUAGUAAUGAAAAAAUACGUUCUACCGUUAUGAAAACAUCACACACAUCCAAUAGAAAAACACCGGUGAUAUCUAACGGUCAUUCGUCAUGUGCUUCAAUCAUUGAAGAAGACCAAUUUCAAUGCUGCAAUCAUAGUUCUCACUCUGAUUCUGAUGGUAGUGAAGGCGAUGUCGAUACGGGAAAUGCUGAAAUGUUAAAUAAUUUUUCUAUUUUUGAAUAUUUCGAACCUUAUCAUAACGAAACUCUAAUUAUUGAGGAUGAUGGUACGGAUGCAGAAUCUGACGAAUUGGAUGUUGAUAACUUCGACAAACCUAUUCGAGAACCAAAAGACGACAAUUUAACCAGGAAAGAACUGAGGGAACGGGGAAUGGAAUACACAAAUUGCAGCGGCAGAAAAGUACCUGCUCGAACAACC
Molecule: long non-coding RNA, 782 nt
Organism: Malaya genurostris
Lineage: Eukaryota; Metazoa; Arthropoda; Insecta; Diptera; Culicidae
Exons: 3
Source: RefSeq, a predicted model, not a curated record